Molecule: small nucleolar RNA, 73 nt
Organism: Symsagittifera roscoffensis
Lineage: Eukaryota; Metazoa; Xenacoelomorpha; Acoela; Convolutidae
Product: small nucleolar RNA R160
Exons: 1
Source: RefSeq, a predicted model, not a curated record
AGAAAAAAAAGGAUGACAUAUUUUUUGAAAAAUUGUCGAAACAAAUAUAUGUCUUUAAAGUUCUUUGAUUUCU